AACGCGAAGAACCUUACCCAGGCUUGAACAGCGAGUGACCACCUACGAAAGUAGGCUUCCGCAAGGGACCGCAGUAUAGGUGCUGCAUGGCUGUCGUCAGCUCGUGUCGUGAGAUGUUGGGUUAAGUCCCGCAACGAGCGCAACCCUUGUCCUGUGUUGCCAUACCGAAAGGUGGAACUCGCAGGAGACCGCCAGGGAUAACCUGGAGGAAGGUGGGGAUGACGUCAAGUCCUCAUGGCCUUUAUGUCCAGGGCUACACACGUGCUACAAUGGACGGUACAAAGGGCUGCCAACCCGCGAGGGGGAGCCAAUCCCAAAAAACCGUUCUCAGUUCGGAUUGCAGGCUGCAACUCGCCUGCAUGAAGCUGGAAUCGCUAGUAAUGGCGGAUCAGAACGCCGCCGUGAAUACGUUCCCGGGCCUUGUACACACCGGCUAC
Molecule: ribosomal RNA, 437 nt
Filed under: uncultured bacterium
Lineage: Bacteria
Description: bacterial SSU rRNA
Rfam family: Bacterial small subunit ribosomal RNA
Source: RNAcentral